UAUUAUACUAUGCAUAUGUACUACAUGUAGACUACACGUGGCAAAACCUGACUGGCCAUCCAGCUGGGGUGAUAGCCACUCACAAGAGGCCAAUGGGACUGGUCAUUCAGGACAGCAAUCAGGAUGAGUAAGAAGGGAAGAAAAGAGGUGAAAGAAGGAAGGCAGAAGACAACUUUGAAGAUGGGAAAACUAUUAUUGAGGUAAUAAACAAUUCGAAACUCUCAGAGCCGGGAUUUGAACUCCCAUCUCUCCUGGACUCCAGAUCUAGCACACUGUUGACUGCCGUGCUUCCAGUUCAGAUUCCAGGGCUCUACGAGGGCAAUGAAGGUUAAGUGACUUGCCCAGGGUCACACAGCUAGUAAGUGUCAAAUGUCUGAGGUCAGAUUUGAACUAAGGUCCUCCUGAAUCAAAGACCGGGUGCUUUAUCCACCAUACUACCUAGCUGCCCCUUAUCUAUCAGUUUCUUAAACCCAGACAAAACAUUUGUAAUAUUUGCCCAAUUUCCCAGGUGCAAAUACUCACAUUGAAAAUUUAAGACUAGGCCUUCCUGAGAUGGUUUGAGCUGCCUCCUGCACUCCUCUAGGUGUUCCCCAAUCCUCUGUCCGGAGGCCCCUCCUCUUUUCACUCCAUACAAUCUCACCUGGAGAUCUCAUCAGCCCCUGUGGGUUCAGUUAGCAUCUCUUUCAUGCCUAUAUCAUCUAUAGGUGGUGUGAUGAAGCAGCUGGGUGGUGCAAGGAAUGGAGAGAGCAGCGGGCCUGGAUGCAGGCUGUUUCUCACCAUAUUCCAUCCAAAGCCUCCCCAGUGCCUUUGCUGAAUCUCCCCCUUGUGCUGACUUAGUUUCCCUGGCUUCUUUCAGGACCCAGCUCAAAUCUUACCCUUUGCAGAAGACCUUUCCCUGUACCCCCAGUUUAGAGUAGUUUCUUCCCUGAGAUUAUCUUCAAUCUACUCUGUACAUACCUUAGACAUAGAAGUGACUCACAUGUUGUGUCCCCCACUAGAAUUUAAACUCCUUGAGGGCAGGGAGGGCUUUGUUUUUGCCCUUUUUUGUAAUCCCGAUGUUUAGCAUUAUGUCUGCCACAUAGUAAAUAGUCAAAUAUUCUUUCAGAUGGCAUUUAUUUCAUUUUUUUUAUGGGGCAAUGGGGGGUAAGUGACUUGCCCAGGGUCACACAGCUAGUAAGUGUCAAGUGUCUGAGGCCAUAUUUGAACUCAGGUCCUCCUGAAUCCAGGGCUGGUGCUUUAUCCACUGCGCCACCUAGCCGCCCCCUGCAGAUGGCAUUUAUUUCAACGACCUUGUGAGCUCACCUCAUCACUAUGCUAUCACAAGGGAUGAGAUCCAAGUGUGUAUAAACCAAACCUACAGGUCUAAGGUGGGAGUGGGAAUUUGGAGGCCAGACGUUGGAAUCAAGACAGGGAGAUCAGCCGUCAGUACUGGAUCAGGGGCAGGACACAGUGAGUGUCGCUGAGAUGUCUAUUUUUCUACCUCAACUCACCCCUACAGAUCUUCAGCCUUUCAUUAUGACAGCACAUUGGUAGAGGAAGGAAACAAGCAUUUCUUAAUGACCUACUAUGUGCCAGGUGGGUAGUUAAGUGGUGAAGUGGUUAGAGUUCAGGGCCUGAAGUCAGGAACAUUCAUCUUCCAGAAUUCAAAUCCAGCCUCAGACACCUACUUGCUGUGUGAUUCUGGGCAAGCUGAUUUACCCUGUUUGCCUUAGUUUCCU
Molecule: long non-coding RNA, 1718 nt
Organism: Dromiciops gliroides (monito del monte)
Lineage: Eukaryota; Metazoa; Chordata; Mammalia; Microbiotheria; Microbiotheriidae
Exons: 3
Source: RefSeq, a predicted model, not a curated record